RNAcentral lists this ribosomal RNA (909 nucleotides) under uncultured Bacteroidota bacterium. RNAcentral describes it as "bacterial SSU rRNA". It matches the Rfam family "Bacterial small subunit ribosomal RNA", at positions 1 to 900 of the family's 1533-position model. The record is from RNAcentral. Lineage: Bacteria; Pseudomonadati; Bacteroidota.
UGGAUCCAGACUUUGAUUCUGGCUCAGGAUGAACGCUAGCUACAGGCUUAACACAUGCAAGUCGAGGGGAAACGACAUCGAAAGCUUGCUUUUGAUGGGCGUCGACCGGCGCACGGGUGAGUAACGCGUAUCCAACCUGCCCACCACUUGGGGAUAACCUUGCGAAAGUAAGACUAAUACCCAAUGUUAUCUCUAGAAGACAUCUGAAAGAGAUUAAAGAUUUAUCGGUGAUGGAUGGGGAUGCGUCUGAUUAGCUUGUUGGCGGGGUAACGGCCCACCAAGGCGACGAUCAGUAGGGGUUCUGAGAGGAAGGUCCCCCACAUUGGAACUGAGACACGGUCCAAACUCCUACGGGAGGCAGCAGUGAGGAAUAUUGGUCAAUGGACGAGAGUCUGAACCAGCCAAGUAGCGUGCAGGAUGACGGCCCUAUGGGUUGUAAACUGCUUUUAUAAGGGAAUAAAGUGAGUCUCGUGAGACUUUUUGCAUGUACCUUAUGAAUAAGGACCGGCUAAUUCCGUGCCAGCAGCCGCGGUAAUACGGAAGGUCCGGGCGUUAUCCGGAUUUAUUGGGUUUAAAGGGAGCGUAGGCCGGAGAUUAAGCGUGUUGUGAAAUGUAGACGCUCAACGUCUGCACUGCAGCGCGAACUGGUUUCCUUGAGUACGCACAAAGUGGGCGGAAUUCGUGGUGUAGCGGUGAAAUGCUUAGAUAUCACGAAGAACUCCGAUUGCGAAGGCAGCUCACUGGAGCGCAACUGACGCUGAAGCUCGAAAGUGCGGGUAUCGAACAGGAUUAGAUACCCUGGUAGUCCGCACGGUAAACGAUGGAUGCCCGCUGUUGGUCUGAAUAGGUCAGCGGCCAAGCGAAAGCAUUAAGCAUCCCACCUGGGGAGUACGCCGGCAACGGUGCAAC